This 611-nucleotide ribosomal RNA is filed under the name uncultured organism. RNAcentral's name for it is "bacterial SSU rRNA". It matches the Rfam family "Bacterial small subunit ribosomal RNA", at positions 77 to 665 of the family's 1533-position model. The record is from RNAcentral.
CUUGCAAGUGCUAGUAAAGUGGCGCACGGGUGAGUACACGUGGGUAAUCUCCCUUCAAGUUCGGGAUAGGAGGGCGAAAGCGCUGCUAAUACCGGAUAACAUAGCCCGGGCUUUGGCCUGGGAUAUCAAAGGUGGCCUCUCGAUGAAGCUAUCGCUUGAGGAUGAGCCCGCGGACCAUUAGCUUGUUGGUGGGGUAAUGGCCCACCAAGGCGACGAUGGUUAGCUGGUCUGAGAGGAUGAUCAGCCACACUGGAACUGAGAGACGGUCCAGACUCCUACGGGAGGCAGCAGUGAGGAAUUUUGCGCAAUGGGGGAAACCCUGACGCAGCAACGCCGCGUGAGUGAUGAAGGCUUUCGGGUCGUAAAGCUCUGUUGGGUGGGAAGAACCCGUAUUGUGAACAAUACCACAAAGCGCUGACGGUACCACCUGAGGAAGCACCGGCUAACUCCGUGCCAGCAGCCGCGGUAAUACGGAGGGUGCAAGCGUAAUUCGGAAUUAUUGGGCGUAAAGCGCGCGUAGGCGGUUCGGUAAGUCAGCUGUGAAAGCCCAUGGCUCAACCAUGGAAGUGCAGUUGAUACUAUCGAACUUGAGUAUGGGAGAGGGAAGCGGA